ACUCCUACGGGAGGCAGCAGUGGGGAAUAUUGCACAAUGGGCGCAAGCCUGAUGCAGCCAUGCCGCGUGUAUGAAGAAGGCCUUCGGGUUGUAAAGUACUUUCAGCAGUGAGGAAGGUGGAUAUGUUAAUAGCAUAUUCAUUUGACGUUAGCUGCAGAAGAAGCACCGGCUAACUCCGUGCCAGCAGCCGCGGUAAUACGGAGGGUGCGAGCGUUAAUCGGAAUUACUGGGCGUAAAGCGCAUGCAGGUGGUUUGUUAAGUCAGAUGUGAAAGCCCGGGGCUCAACCUCGGAAUUGCAUUUGAAACUGGCAAACUAGAGUACUGUAGAGGGGGGUAGAAUUUCAGGUGUAGCGGUGAAAUGCGUAGAGAUCUGAAGGAUACCGGUGGCGAAGGCGGCCCCCUGGACAGAUACUGACACUCAGAUGCGAAAGCGUGGGGAGCAAACAGGAUUAGAUACCCCGGGAGGCUCUGC
This 472-nucleotide ribosomal RNA is filed under the name uncultured bacterium. RNAcentral's name for it is "bacterial SSU rRNA". It matches the Rfam family "Bacterial small subunit ribosomal RNA", at positions 335 to 800 of the family's 1533-position model. The record is from RNAcentral.